This 1662-nucleotide ribosomal RNA is filed under the name Triticum aestivum (bread wheat). RNAcentral describes it as "partial small subunit ribosomal RNA". The record is from RNAcentral. Lineage: Eukaryota; Viridiplantae; Streptophyta; Magnoliopsida; Poales; Poaceae.
AUGGGCGCGUUGCAUGCCCCCUUGGUGUCCACCCUACCCCACACGGCAGUCACCCAACUACCACUAACCGCUGGACAGUCAACCCGUAACCAUUUUCUACCGCCCACCAUGUCGUGGAAGCGAACAAAUGGAGCGCACGACCACGAUGCCGGCCCCUCCUCGGGGCGGCGCCGCCAUGUGGCAACCUUCAUCGUGGUGCUGCCAGGGCUGCACCGCCGGCGCGUGACCAUGUUGCCAGCCAUUUCGGCCUCUGGUCGUGCGCGGGAGGCGGAGAUCUGCCGCCACCGCACUCAGCUACUAAGUGACCUCUGCCACGACCCGGCGUUCGCAUUGGACUCGCCACACUGGGACAUUUGGUUCGGCGAUGAGCUCGACCAGCGUCGCUGGUCAUGCUUCACCGCUCAUGCACCAACGCCCCUGCGCGCUCCAACACCACAACCAAGAAGGAGGAUGAGGCCCUCAAGAAGGACAUCGAGGACUCCGAACUGGCCAAGAUGGCCUAGUGGACUGACCUGCACCUGCCACUGGUGCUCCAAGUCUCGACGUUGGAGGCCCCCGCGCCACCGUCGAAGCUACGAAAUUUCCCGAAUUUCCCAUUCUACCCCUCUUCUCGUGCCGACCGACAAGUUCCCCUCUCUCUCGCGCGACGCUCCCCACCACUCGCUCCCCACCACUCGUCUCUCUCUAUCUCUCGCGCGUGACGCCGCCCUCUCUCUGUCGACGCGCCCUCUCUCCCCCUCUCGCCAGCAUCUUGCUCCGCACCGCCGCCUGGCUCACCGCUCCUCACACGCCGCCCUCUCCUACUCUGGCAACGCGCUGCUAGGCGAGGAGGAGGCGCGCGCUGGCGCUAGAUCUGAGUGCGCCGGCGGCCCCGCUGGCUACCGCGGGGAGGCCUCCUCGUCGCCGUCCCUGCAGCCGCCGCCGCCGCAGCAGCAGCAGGGGCACGCUAUUCAGCCCGUGUGGCUGCGGCAGCCGAGUCUGCCUUGGGAUCUUGGUGCGGGCGCGCCUCCCAUCGGCUUCGGGCUUCGUGAUCUUGAGGAGAUGCGCAAGAUGGUGCUCGACGGGUUCAAGCACUGCGCGCACGGGAUCAUGGAGAACAGCCAGGGGCAUGCAGCCAGGAGUAGAUUCCUGUACUGUUCUUUCCUGUAGUGGAGCUAAUUUUGUGUCUUUGUUAAUCUUCUCAUGAACUUCUGUAGCUUCUGUUAGCUAGUCUUGGUCAUGAAUCUGCAGCUUCACCUAGUUACCGUGUGCUGCAAUUUAUGCUGUGUUACAAAGUGAUUCUUGCUGCUGGUAACCUGGUAUAGCUUUGGAUUUAUGAAACUCUGUUUAUAAAGUGAAUCUUGCUUCCAAUUACAGUGAUUUUCCCAGCGCAUCAAAUGUACUGAAACUGUAAAGUGAUCCUAUUAACUGUAAAGUGUAGGAGUAUAAUUUUAAUUGUAACAUUUUUCUGUUAAUUAAGAUAAACUGAAACCUUUUCAAUCAAUUAAACCUUUUCAGUCAAUUAAACCUUUUCAGUAUUAAAAGAAAGUUUCCAUUAAACCUCUUUUGUUAAUCAAACCAUUUUUGUUAAUUAAAAAAAUUCAGAAAAUGAAAACCUUUUUUUAAUUAAACCUUUUCAGUAUUAAAAGAAAGUUUCCAUUAAACCUCUUUUGUUAAUUAAAC